GCUCUGUUUGGGUACACUGCUGGGGCUGCUGCUGCUCUGGUCUGUUCUGCCUAUGGAGCAGCCACUUUGCUGUACACCGCUACUCCGGGCCACUCUGCCUAUAAGGAAGCACUGCUCUGUGGGACAGUGAUACGGCUGCACACCGCUACUCCCGGGAACUCUGUCUUUGGGUCAGCCCUGCUCUGUCUACGGAGCAGCUAUUUUGCUGUAUGCUGUUGUUCUAAUAAACUUCUUUCUUUCACUGCUGGCUGGCGCUUGAAUUCUUUCCUGAGUGAAGCCAAGAAUCCUCCCAGGCUGAACGCCAAUUCGGGAUAAACCUGCAUCCGCUGGAUAACUUGAUAAUGAAUUUUUAAAUUAAUUUUUUCACUUAUUGAUCCACUUUUCUCAGUCAUUUUCUGUUUCCUGCAACCGAAGACCCCUAAGUUACACAGAAAUCAGAUUUAAAAAUACAGACUCAGACGAAUGUAAAUAUUUUGAAUUGAAUGGAGUGAAAAGUGCUGAGACUCCUACCCAUGUUCAGAGAUAUGAAAGUGGUGGUCAAUGAGAAAGAAUCUUUAAACAACCACAAGCAGUGACCGGUUGGAACCUGGGCCUCCUGAAGAUGAAGUUCAGAGAGCAGGUGGCUGUUGUCAUAGAACUGCUUAAAUAGAAUGAGGAAUGGUAGGCCCACCGAGUAGAAUGGCUACAUCUGACAGGCCUAGUAAUGAAAUUGGAGACUGGAAAGCCCAGGCCUUAUGGGUUUCAAAGCACAGGAUGAAAUUCAGAAUCCUUGUGUGAGUGUACAGAACAGUCCCUUAUUACUUGUAGCUAUGCUGCGGAGCACACAGAAAACUAAUUCCACGGAUGCAUUUUGCACCUUGCUGAAUUAUAAUAUUAGUUGAAUUCACAAACUCUCAUGUAUGUGAAAGCUAAGGCAUUAAUUAAGAAAGAGUGGACUCGGUAUAAAGUCAUAAUAACACUCUGGCAUCCAAUUUCCAGAAUUUAAAAUUAUCUCUCUGCCUAAAUAGCUGUGGGGUUCUAAAUAAGUUACUCAAAUUAUAUGUCUUACUUUUCAUGGGGAAUACUAACAAUAUUGUUAGUAGCAUUAUUUCAUGAAUAGCUAUAUUUUAAAGAAUAAAUUAGAUAACCCACACCAAACACUUAACACAGUGCCUAGUACAAAGAUAGUACUUGGAUGUUAGCUAGUAAUUCAAGUAAAAUCUUUAAUAAUUUUCAAAUAGAUGAAAAAGAAUUUGUAUUAAGUGUAUUUAUCAAACGAUUACUUACUCUGCUACACAAUCUUCAUGUUCAAAGAAAUUUAAUGCAUAUUUCUUACAAUCAGAAAUCUUCCAAUUAUUCUGGGAAGGUCUGAAUAAAACUUGCAAAAAUUUAAAUGAUAACAUAGGAGAAAUAGAAGGUCGAAGUAGUGAGACAAGAACUCAGUCAUAAGGUUUUAUAAGAUUAAGUGCUCAAUGAAUGCUCUUGGAAAAAGGUGUUAUAUUUUUCUUAAAUAUCUUUUUUAUCAAAUGACUAUUUGAUCUACUGUAUUUGAAGAGUUAAACUCAUUUCUACAUGUCUUAUUUUUCUUAUGUUCUUAUAGCAAGGAUCAGUCAGAUCUAAAUACUUGUUUCAGAACUGCACACUUUGGGUUUUGACAUUUAUUUUUUUAUUUCCUAAGCCAGAAAGUGAAUCUUUGAAAACUGUAAGACAAUAAUCCAAGUGGAAAAUGCUUUGAAAGCUCUUUGUAGUUGGCAAUAAGGCUUUAUUAAUGACAAUUGUUCUCACAUGAUGGAUGUACUUGCCAUAAUACCUAUGGGCUUAUACUGUGACUGUUAGUAUUUCCUUGAACAAUUCCCUAAGUGACCAUAUAUAAUUUAAUACACCUAGCCUCCCAAAACACAUUGUCUUGUGGAUUUGUCAGUAGUGUAUCUUAAUGAGAAAAAAUGUCCUCCUUAAAUCAAAUGUAAAUUACUUUUUUAAAAAAAUCUAACUACAGAUAAAACGUACUUUUAAAAAUAUAAUCUUGCAAUACAUUUAUUAAAAUUUUGUUAAAUGAAUCAUAUUUUCCAUUGAUUUGCACUAUUAUAUUAGAGAUGUGUUCCUAUGGUAAGAAAUUUGACCAAAAGUGAAUAUAUAAUACAACUUAGAAAUGCAGAG
Long non-coding RNA from Homo sapiens (human), 2136 nucleotides. Ensembl annotates it as long intergenic non-protein coding RNA 2010. The record is from Ensembl. Lineage: Eukaryota; Metazoa; Chordata; Mammalia; Primates; Hominidae.